Molecule: ribosomal RNA, 253 nt
Filed under: uncultured bacterium
Lineage: Bacteria
Description: partial 16S ribosomal RNA
Rfam family: Bacterial small subunit ribosomal RNA
Source: RNAcentral
UACGUAGGUGGCAAGCGUUGUCCGGAUUUACUGGGCGUAAAGGGCGUGCAGGCGGUUUGUUAAGUGCAGAGUGAAAGCUCCCGGCUCAACUGGGAGAGGUCUUUGCAUACUGGCAAACUCGAGGGAGGCAGAGGAAAGUGGAAUUCCCGGUGUAGUGGUGAUAUGCGUAGAUAUCGGGAGGAACACCUGUGGCGAAGGCGGCUUUCUGGGCCUUACCUGACGCUCAGGCGCGAAAGCUAGGGGAGCGAACAGG